UAGGGUCAUGAGGGCACUAAUAAUAGUCAGCAACCCUGACCAGCCUCACCUGGGGGCUGCACUCACACCUUGCCUUCAGUUCUGCCUUUUCUCUAUGGAGUUGCCUGGUGGCCUAGGUUAGAGCUGCCCUUCUGGCUUUUUUUUGCUCCCUACUGAGGUGGUGAUAUUGCUGUCCUGGGGAACUCCUGCUGCUCCAGCUCCCUGACCUGUGGACAAGCUGCUGCUGAAGUCAAGUAUUCCCCAGUGCACAGGACCUUACAUGGGCCUUUGCCAUCAGAAACACACCAAUGAGUUUAGCUGCCUCCUCUUCAUCCCGGACAUGAUACGGUGCUUGGAAGCCACUCUGGCGUGAGAAGAAGGCUGGGAACUCUCUUGAUUCUCCAAAGGCAGCCACACACACCCCCUGAGUCUCCUGCAGCAGUGGAGCUGUUUCUAACAGAAUGCAAGACUGAAGAUACACACCUGGAAGUUUUUGAACCUUUACUUCAGUGCUGAAAAUUGCAUGAGAAAUGCUCUGUGAUGGAACCAGGUGCAGAAAAUAAGUUUCUUCUUUUGGGUAUUAAAAAAGGUCUUUCCAAUUCUCAUGGGACAGUUUUGAAUUGAACAUCCAGGCUUUCUCAUAACCACGGGAAGGGACUUGAAGAACUGAAUUUAUGAACUAUUUGGCAUUGAUCAUUGUGCUGAUAAUAUCAGGAGGAGUCUGAUAUUAUCAUAGAGAUAAUAUAGAUAGAGAGCCUGGAUCAAGGUCUUUAUUUGGGUGCUCCAUGUCCUGGAUGAAGGUUGGUCUUACACAAUCAUUGAAAGAAGUUGCUCAUUCCAAGACUGUUGGAGUUCAAAGUUCACUCCAAGUGUUUUGUGCAUACCUGUACCUUGUUUUGUAGCCUCUUAAAAUUGGUAGGUGUAUUCAGAGCUGUGUUCGCCCAGGUCUGGAUUGUGCAUAUUCCAGAAAAUGCCAGCAAGCAUUCCCAUUGCCUCGGUCCUUAGUUUGAGGGCACUGAAAUCAUUGUAUAAUGGAAACCUGAA
Prinia subflava (tawny-flanked prinia) is the source of this 1023-nucleotide long non-coding RNA. RefSeq lists it as uncharacterized. The transcript is spliced from 3 exons. The record is from RefSeq and is a predicted model, not a curated record. NCBI's taxonomy places the organism in Eukaryota, Metazoa, Chordata, Aves, Passeriformes, Cisticolidae.